This 217-nucleotide long non-coding RNA is filed under the name Malus domestica (apple). RNAcentral describes it as "long non-coding RNA (MDOM_LNC021302)". Lineage: Eukaryota; Viridiplantae; Streptophyta; Magnoliopsida; Rosales; Rosaceae. The record is from RNAcentral.
UUGAAUUCACAACUUAUAAAUCACAACUGAAGGUAAUCAAUUCAUAUUACAAAUAUAUUCAUGGUUUCGAAUUAACCUCUAACCAAAAUAAAUUUAAUUACACAUUAUUAAAACAGAAAUAAAAUAGGAGUUUGGAAAGAUUAAACCGAAAGAAAGGAUCUGCUGCGUGGACUCUGAACUGCAUGGACUCUGAACUGCAUUUUCAUGCUGACCUCCU